CCAGCUUCCUUUGCCAAACUGGUUUAGACCAAAUGUAGUAUCUGUUCUUCUCAGUUUAAUCGCCGAAACCGUCCACACGCUGGACAUCAAUCACACGAUUUAGAUCCCAAUAUUUUACUACCGCGAUCCCGGGACACGCGCUGGGGGCUUGGCCGCAGUUUGUUCUGCGACAGGGGUGUGUGUCUCUGGUAUCACACUGCUUCCAGAUGACGCCAGUCGGC
This 221-nucleotide small nuclear RNA is filed under the name Pseudogymnoascus sp. VKM F-4515 (FW-2607). RNAcentral's name for it is "U2 spliceosomal RNA". It matches the Rfam family "U2 spliceosomal RNA". Rfam says of the family: U2 is a small nuclear RNA (snRNA) component of the spliceosome (involved in pre-mRNA splicing). Complementary binding between U2 snRNA (in an area lying towards the 5' end but 3' to hairpin I) and the branchpoint sequence (BPS) of the intron results the bulging out of an unpaired adenosine, on the BPS, which initiates a nucleophilic attack at the intronic 5' splice site, thus starting the first of two transesterification reactions that mediate splicing. Lineage: Eukaryota; Fungi; Ascomycota; Leotiomycetes; Thelebolales; Thelebolaceae. The record is from Rfam by way of RNAcentral.